This 421-nucleotide ribosomal RNA is filed under the name uncultured bacterium. Its description in RNAcentral is "bacterial SSU rRNA". It matches the Rfam family "Bacterial small subunit ribosomal RNA", at positions 358 to 773 of the family's 1533-position model. The record is from RNAcentral.
GGAAUUGUUCGCAAUGGGCGCAAGCCUGACGACGCAACGCCGCGUGGAAGAUGAAGGUCCUCGGAUCGUAAACUCCUGUUGCCAGGGAAGAACGGCUCCGACCUAAUACGUCGGCGAGUGACGGUACCUGGUGAGGAAGCCCCGGCUAACUCUGUGCCAGCAGCCGCGGUAAUACCCAGGGGGCGAGCGUUGUUCGGAAUUACUGGGCGUAAGGGCGCGUAGGCGGCCUGUUAAGUCGGUUGUGAAAUCCCCGGGCUCAACCCGGGAACUGCGUCCGAUACUGGCAGGCUUGAAUCCGGGAGAGGGAUGUGGAAUUCCAGGUGUAGCGGUGAAAUGCGUAGAUAUCUGGAGGAACACCGGUGGCGAAGGCGGCAUCCUGGACCGGCAUUGACGCUGAUGCGCGAAAGCCAGGGGAGCAAAC